AGUGGCGGACGGGUGAGUAACGCGUGAGAAUCUGCCUUGGGGUCGGGGACAACCACUGGAAACGGUGGCUAAUACCGGAUAAGCCGAUUGGUGAAAGAUUUAUUGCCCGAAGAGGAGCUCGCGUCUGAUUAGCUAGUUGGUGAGGUAAGAGCUCACCAAGGCAGCGAUCAGUAGCUGGUCUGAGAGGACGAUCAGCCACACUGGGACUGAGACACGGCCCAGACUCCUACGGGAGGCAGCAGUGGGGAAUUUUCCGCAAUGGGCGAAGGCCUGACGGAGCAAGACCGCGUGAGGGAGGAAGGCUCUUGGGUUGUAAACCUCUUUUCUCAGGGAAGAAGCUCUGACGGUACCUGAGGAAUCAGCCUCGGCUAACUCCGUGCCAGCAGCCGCGGUAAUACGGAGGAGGCAAGCGUUAUCCGGAAUUAUUGGGCGUAAAGCGUCCGCAGGUGGCGAUUCAAGUCUGCUGUCAAAGCACGGGGCUUAACUCCGUAAAGGCAGUGGAAACUGAAUAGCUAGAGUGCCGUAGGGGUAGAGGGAAUUCCCGGUGUAGCGGUGAAAUGCGUAGAGAUCGGGAAGAACAUCGGUGGCGAAAGCGCUCUACUGGACGGCAACUGACACUCAGGGACGAAAGCUAGGGGAGCGAAUGGGAUUAGAUACCCC
This 660-nucleotide ribosomal RNA is filed under the name uncultured bacterium. RNAcentral's name for it is "bacterial SSU rRNA". It matches the Rfam family "Bacterial small subunit ribosomal RNA", at positions 94 to 788 of the family's 1533-position model. The record is from RNAcentral.